RNAcentral lists this ribosomal RNA (301 nucleotides) under uncultured bacterium. Its description in RNAcentral is "partial 16S ribosomal RNA". It matches the Rfam family "Bacterial small subunit ribosomal RNA", at positions 509 to 807 of the family's 1533-position model. The record is from RNAcentral.
CAGCAGCCGCGGUAAUACGGAGGGAGCUAGCGUUGUUCGGAAUUACUGGGCGUAAAGCGCACGUAGGCGGUUAUUCAAGUCAGAGGUGAAAGCCCGGGGCUCAACCCCGGAACUGCCUUUGAAACUAGAUGACUAGAAUCUUGGAGAGGUCAGUGGAAUUCCGAGUGUAGAGGUGAAAUUCGUAGAUAUUCGGAAGAACACCAGUGGCGAAGGCGACUGACUGGACAAGUAUUGACGCUGAGGUGCGAAAGCGUGGGGAGCAGACAGGAUUAGAUACCCCAGUAGUCCCUGUCUCUUAUAC